Cinclus cinclus is the source of this 896-nucleotide RNA transcript. It is a transcript of the gene named BLOC-1 related complex subunit 8, with no coding region annotated. The record is from RefSeq and is a predicted model, not a curated record. The transcript is spliced from 6 exons. NCBI's taxonomy places the organism in Eukaryota, Metazoa, Chordata, Aves, Passeriformes, Cinclidae.
CGGGAAGGGCCAAACCGGGAAUCACCGACUGUCCCCGCGGGUGACAAACCGGGAGUCACCGACUGUCCCCGCGGGUGACAAACCGGGAGUCACCGACUGUCCCCGCGGGUGACAAUGGGGACUUGGAGAGGAACCAAGUUCCGGUAAAGCAGAACGUUAGCGCCGCGGCCGCGUUUCCAGCCGGGGUUGUUUUCUCUGCGCGUGUUCCGGGGGCGCAGCGGAAGCGGAAGUGGCGGCGGGAGGGAUGGAGGAACCGGAGAUGCAGCUGAAGGUGAAGAAAGUGACAGACAAGUUCACGGAGAGCCUGUACGUGCUGGCCAACGAGCCCUCGGUGGCUCUGUUCCGCCUGCAGGAGCACGUCCGCAGGUCCCUGCCCGAGCUGGCCCAGCACAAGGUCGGUCCCGCUCCCCCAGCCUCGGAAUUCCGGGAUCCAACAGCCCCGACCCUGCUUUCCCACCUCCUCCCUCCAUCCCAGUCGGACAUGCAGAGCUGGGAGGAGCAGAGCCAGGGAGCCAUUUACACCGUGGAGUAUGCCUGCAGCGCCAUCAAGAACAUGACUGACAGCAGUGUUUACUUCAAGAGCAUCGACAGCCUCCUCAAAAAUUCCAUAACCAUGAAGGAACAGCUCAAUUCCAGCCAGGGCCGCAGCACCAUCACUCCCCAACCCAAGAAUCAUCCAGGCACUUCCUGAUUUUCCAUCCUGAAUUUCCCAACCUCGGGAAGAAGUGGAAAAAAAAAAAAAAACCACAAAAAACUCUGGGGCUGCACAGAGCCGCCAAAUCCCGAUUCCCGCUCACACCAGCGUGGAGUCCGUGGCUUUUCGGGCCGUCCCGUUCCUCGUCUCUCCCGCCGGGACAUUCCAAGGUUUUCCCUGCUCCCGGAGCGACCCCAAAUCC